GACGAACGCUGGCGGCGUGCUUAACACAUGCAAGUCGAACGGAAAGGCCCUGCUUUUGUGGGGUGCUCGAGUGGCGAACGGGUGAGUAACACGUGAGUAACCUGCCCUUGACUUUGGGAUAACUUCAUUAAACUCGGGCUAAUACCGGAUAUGAGCUCCUUCUGCAUGGUUUGUGUUGGAAAGUUGCGGCGGUUGGGGAUGGACGCGCGGCUUAUCAGCUUGUUGGUGGGGUAGUGGCUUACCAAGGCUUGGACGGGUAGCCGGACUGAGAGGGUGACCGGCCACAUUGGGACUGAGAUACGGCCAAGACUCAUACGGGAGGAAGCAGUGGGGAACAUUGCACAAUGGGCGGAAGCCUGAAGCAGCAACGCCGCGUGCGGGAUGACGGCCUUCGGGUUGGAAACCGCUUUCGCCUGUGACGAAGCGUGAGUGACGGUAAUGGGUAAAGAAGCACCGGCUAACUACGUG
This 468-nucleotide ribosomal RNA is filed under the name uncultured bacterium. RNAcentral's name for it is "partial 16S ribosomal RNA". It matches the Rfam family "Bacterial small subunit ribosomal RNA", at positions 28 to 507 of the family's 1533-position model. The record is from RNAcentral.